CUCCUUCGGGAGGGGAUUAGUGGCGAACGGGUGAGUAACACGUGGGCAAUCUGCCCUUCACUCUGGGACAAGCCCUGGAAACGGGGUCUAAUACCGGAUAACACUGCGGAUCGCAUGGUCUGCGGUUGAAAGCUCCGGCGGUGAAGGAUGAGCCCGCGGCCUAUCAGCUUGUUGGUGGGGUGAUGGCCUACCAAGGCGACGACGGGUAGCCGGCCUGAGAGGGCGACCGGCCACACUGGGACUGAGACACGGCCCAGACUCCUACGGGAGGCAGCAGUGGGGAAUAUUGCACAAUGGGCGAAAGCCUGAUGCAGCGACGCCGCGUGAGGGAUGACGGCCUUCGGGUUGUAAACCUCUUUCAGCAGGGAAGAAGCGAAAGUGACGGUACCUGCAGAAGAAGCGCCGGCUAACUACGUGCCAGCAGCCGCGGUAAUACGUAGGGCGCAAGCGUUGUCCGGAAUUAUUGGGCGUAAAGAGCUCGUAGGCGGCUUGUCGCGUCGGAUGUGAAAGCCCGGGGCUUAACCCCGGGUCUGCAUUCGAUACGGGCAGGCUAGAGUGUGGUAGGGGAGAUCGGAAUUCCUGGUGUAGCGGUGAAAUGCGCAGAUAUCAGGAGGAACACCGGUGGCGAAGGCGGAUCUCUGGGCCAUUACUGACGCUGAGGAG
This 663-nucleotide ribosomal RNA is filed under the name Streptomyces peucetius. RNAcentral's name for it is "bacterial SSU rRNA". It matches the Rfam family "Bacterial small subunit ribosomal RNA", at positions 75 to 753 of the family's 1533-position model. The record is from RNAcentral. Lineage: Bacteria; Bacillati; Actinomycetota; Actinomycetes; Kitasatosporales; Streptomycetaceae.